Molecule: long non-coding RNA, 2796 nt
Filed under: Sus scrofa (pig)
Lineage: Eukaryota; Metazoa; Chordata; Mammalia; Artiodactyla; Suidae
Description: lncRNA (ENSSSCG00015032304.1)
Source: RNAcentral
AGGACAGAUUAUUUUAGUAACUUAAAUAAACCCUCCACUCCUUCCUCCAAGCCAUAAUUUACAUACAGAUUUUUGAAUUGAAAUCUUAGAAUUUCAUAAGUUGAAUUUCCCUAAAGUGAGGAGCACUUUUAACUUGAAAUGUUGCCCAAGAGAUGAUCUUCUCCAGGUCAUUAAUUUAUUAUAUCUAUCAAUAUUUUGGCAAAGGACCAAACAUUUGGAAGUUGCAUGGAAAAAUGGAAGUUGUAUAACUACAUUUUUUUUUAACAUGCCAGAUACUGUGAUCCAAUAAAGAGAAGAGAAAAUUAUUCUUGACAAUCAGUGAGAAUAAAGUGGUUGACACAGGCUAUUUGCAUUGAACCUAAGAUGAUUUCUCAACUUUUCUGUCCUAGCCACCCUUGUGAACCUGAAAUCCCAUGUAUACGUGGGUCACUAAAAAAAUAUCAUCUAAUUUCCCAGAUGCAGUUGUGAAUGGGAAAAGAAAAACCACACUAAAUUUAAUUCUAUUCUCUCUAAGCCUGCAUUGAUGGUCUUUCAGGCCUGGCGUUGUAGAUCAGUGUCCACUAAGGGGCCAUGGCAUGACUAAGUAGAGCCAUCCAUUUUUGUGUAAUUCCACUCAUUUCAACCAGUUACCUGCCUCAAAUCUGAUUAGGUCUAAUUUCCUGGUGGCCUAGCAGGUUAAAGAUCUGGCGUUGUCAGUGUUGUGGCAUAGGUUUGAUCCUUGGCCUGGGAACUUCUGCACUCUGUGGGUAUGGCCAAAAAUAAUAGUAAAAUAAAAUUUUAAAAACUUAAAAAUCAAAAAGUGACUACAAAAAAUACAAGGCAAAAAAAAAAUCUGAUUAGGGCUAUUCUUUAAGUCUUCAUUGUUAUCUUCAAACUGAGGUCAUCCUUUCUCCCAAGAACAGAUGAUCUAUUAAAAAACCAGUUAGAUUCACUAAACAUUUAUGAGGUUUCCAGUAUGCAAAUAAUUUUGCCUAGAGAUGGGAAAGAACAGCAUAAACAUAGUUAAGACUUGGCACAUACCUUUACUGAACCACUGAACUUUCCACACAUGAAAACAAAAAAGAAAAAAAGAAUUCCAGUUUUUAAAAGCUAAUUUAGCAAAAGGAUUUUUUUCUUUCAUACUCUAUGGCCUUCCAGGGAGAGAAGAGUGAUACUCUCAAGCUGGUCUGUCCUGCAAGACAAAGAAGGAAUGAUUUCGGUCUUCUACCAUAGCGUUUUCUUCCCAGGGCUGUCAUAGUUACUCUUUGGCCAGAGCAGCCAGAGCUGUCAGAACAGGGCUCUAUAAGAAGCUAUUAUAUCACAGAAAGAAAACAUUUUCUUUGAACAAACAUGCUGAAUCUGAUGGCCACCUGUUUGAUACUACCGGUGGAGAGGCAAAACUGUGCUGAAAAAUCAAAAGAUGGUGAAUUUUGGAGAAGACAUCUGCUGGAAAAAAGAGAUUAUGAUUCCUCAGCCAGUCUUUGGGGGAGAAGGUGCAAUUUACUUGGAAUGGGAUUGAGUUCAAUUUCUGGCUCUACUACUUAAGAAUUUGGGAGCUUAGGAGUUCCCCUUGUGGCUCAGCAGCAAUGAACUCAGCUAGUAUCCUUGAGGAUGCUGGUUCAAUCCCUGGCCUCACUCUGUGUUAAGGAUACAGCAUUUCCACAAGCUUGGGCGUAAGUCGCAGAUGCAACUCGCAACCAGCACUGCUGUGACUGUGGUGUAGGUCGGCAGCUAUAGCUCCGAUUUGACCCCUAGCCUGGGAACUUCCAAAUGCCACAGGUGUGGCCAUAAAAAGGAAAACAAAUAAACAAACUCAGGGAGCCUUAAUUUUUUUGAUUUAUAAAAUGGGAAUAAUCACAUCUAAGUGGGUUAUUGGUGGUUAAGAACAAUAUACAUAAAGUGCCUAGCACAGAAAUAGUGCCAAAUAGUAAUGAUAAUGACGACCACCAUGACUAUUGAUAAUAUCAGCCUGAAAAUUGCUGAAGAAGCACAUCUGGUUCCCAUGGAUCUGUGCUGCCCUUCCCUCCUUCCCUGGAAUUUGAAUUGGACUUUCCUGCAGGGAAAGUUCACUACUUAUAAAUAAUCUCAUUCUGCUUCCCUUCCCAUAGUUCCUUGUAAGUCAUUCACACCAGCUUUGUCCAUUAUAACAUUGUGUUUGGAAUGUAACCAAGUCCACAGUCUUAAAGGUUGAAAUUUCAUUCAAUUAACAAUAAUUUAUUGAGGCCCUACUAGGUGCUAGAUACUGGCAAUUCAGUAAUUAAUAUAAAUUAAUAAAAUCUAUAAAAUUAUAUAGAUUUUAUAAUAUAAAAAAUCUAGGAGUUCCUGCUGUGGCGCAAAGGGAACAUCAGAAUCAUCAGCAUCUCUGCGGUGAUGGGUUAAAGGGUCAAAGGAUCCAAGGUUGAUGCAGCUGCAGUAUAGGUCACAACUGUGGCUGGAAUCUGAUCCCUGGCCCUGAGAAUCCAUAUGAUGUGGGAUGGCUAAGAAAAAAAAAGUGAAAAUAUAAUCUAAGAAUAAUAGCUGCUAUAAAGGGAGCUAUAUAUUGCUAUGAAAGAAUACAGUCUGGAAUUCCCACUGUGUCUCAGUGGAAAUGAACAUGACUUGUAUCCAUGAAGAUAUGUGUUUGAUCCCUGGUCUCCCUCCAUGGGUUAAGGAUCUGGCAUUGCUGUGAGCUGUGGUAUAGUUCACAGAUUUGACUUGAACAUGGCAUUGCUGUGGUUGUGAUGUAGGCUGGCAGCUGCAGCUCUGAUUUGACCCCUAGCCUGGGAACUGCCUUAUGCCACACCUGUGGCCCUAAAAAGAAAAAAAGAAAAAGAAAAA